GACAGAGGGGGCAAGCGUUUUCCGGAGUUACUGGGCGUAAAGGGCGCGGAGGCGGUCUGCGGCGUCGGCGCUGAAAGCGCCCCGCUUAACGGGGCGAGGCGUGCCGAUACGCGCAGACUUGAGGCGAGCAGAGGGUGGUGGAAUUCCGGGUGGAGCGGUGAAAUGCGUAGAGAUCCGGAGGAACGCCAGUGGGGAAGCCGGCCACCUGGGCUCGUCCUGACGCUGCGGCGCGACCGCGUGGGGAGCAAACCGG
Molecule: ribosomal RNA, 253 nt
Filed under: uncultured bacterium
Lineage: Bacteria
Description: partial 16S ribosomal RNA
Rfam family: Bacterial small subunit ribosomal RNA
Source: RNAcentral